This 427-nucleotide ribosomal RNA is filed under the name uncultured bacterium. RNAcentral's name for it is "bacterial SSU rRNA". It matches the Rfam family "Bacterial small subunit ribosomal RNA", at positions 355 to 775 of the family's 1533-position model. The record is from RNAcentral.
UCGAGAAUUUUUCACAAUGGGGGAAACCCUGAUGGAGCGACGCCGCGUGGGGGAUGAAUGGCUUCGGCCCGUAAACCCCUGUCAUUCGGGAUCAAUGCCUGCGGCAUAAUACGUUGCAGGUUGAUAGUACCGGAAGAGGAAGGGACGGCUAACUCUGUGCCAGCAGCCGCGGUAAUACAGAGGUCCCAAGCGUUGUUCGGAUUUACUGGGCGUAAAGGGUGCGUAGGUGGCGGGGUAAGUCGGAUGUGAAAUCUCCAGGCUCAACCUGGAAAUGGCAUUGGAAACUACCUUGCUGGAGAGUUGGAGGGGGGACUGGAAUACUUGGUGUAGCAGUGAAAUGCGUAGAUAUCAAGUGGAACACCAGUGGCGAAGGCGAGUCCCUGGACAACUUCUGACGCUGAGGCACGAAAGCUAGGGGAGCAAACAG